AAUUCGCUUUGUUUUGAAAACAAAGAGUGGGAUUAAAAAUCCCGAAAGUCUAAAAAGAGUUAGUAUA
RNAcentral lists this transfer RNA (67 nucleotides) under Notocomplana palta. RNAcentral's name for it is "tRNA-Asp". Lineage: Eukaryota; Metazoa; Platyhelminthes; Polycladida; Notocomplanidae. The record is from RNAcentral.